This 437-nucleotide ribosomal RNA is filed under the name uncultured Glomus. Its description in RNAcentral is "SSU rRNA". It matches the Rfam family "Eukaryotic small subunit ribosomal RNA", at positions 569 to 1012 of the family's 1831-position model. The record is from RNAcentral. Lineage: Eukaryota; Fungi; Glomeromycota; Glomeromycetes; Glomerales; Glomeraceae.
AGCAGCCGCGGUAAUUCCAGCUCCAAUAGCGUAUAUUAAAGUUGUUGCAGUUAAAAAGCUCGUAGUUGAAUUUCGAGAUCAAUUUGUUGGUCGUGCCUCGGUACGUACUGGCAAUUUUGAUUUCUCCCUUCUGAAGAACCAUGAUGUCAUUAAUUUGGUGUCAUGGGGAAUCAGGACUGUUACUUUGAAAAAUUAGAGUGUUUAAAGCAGGCUCGCGCUUGAAUACAUUAGCAUGGAAUAAUGAAAUAGGACGUUUGAUUCUAUUUUGUUGGUUUCUAGGAUCGACGUAAUGAUUAAUAGGGAUAGUUGGGGGCAUUAGUAUUCAAUUGUCAGAGGUGAAAUUCUUGGAUUUAUUGAAGACUAACUACUGCGAAAGCAUUUGCCAAGGAUGUUUUCAUUAAUCAAGAACGAAAGUUAGGGGAUCGAAGAUGAUCAGA